Cynoglossus semilaevis (tongue sole) is the source of this 4822-nucleotide long non-coding RNA. RefSeq lists it as uncharacterized. The transcript is spliced from 4 exons. NCBI's taxonomy places the organism in Eukaryota, Metazoa, Chordata, Actinopteri, Pleuronectiformes, Cynoglossidae. The record is from RefSeq and is a predicted model, not a curated record.
CGGAGAUCGUCCAUGUUGCAGUCUGAGGAGUUAACGCAGCAGCUGGCAGGGAUCCCAUUGGACGGGUAGUAAACACUGGCCAACCAGCUGGUGUAGUUAUACACACCGCAGCAACGCAGCUACAACCAGAGACAAGCACCUCAUCUAUCUGCCUGUCUGCUCAGCCAUGUCCUGUUCUUUGUCUGGAUGAAGCCUGUGCAGGAAUGAGUCGCGUGCUGAUAUGUCCGUGCUGAUCUGAAACCUGACCCCUGCCUCGCUCCUCUGUGUGCAGCUCUGAGGGAACCAGACUUCUCUCCCUCUUCACUCAGAAACCGUCUCCUGUUUACUACACUGCUCUGACAUCCAAUAAAAAACCUCUCACCAGCUUCAGCAUCCAUGGGCUCCCUCUGCAGGUGGCGAAGCAUCCAAAGAGGCCAAAAACGAUGAUGACGGUCCCGGUGCCAAUGAGGACAUACGGGGCGUUGGUGGAGUUGUCUGCUAUCAGAGAGAUGUACGGGCCCAGCAUCAACUUCCCCCAUACUCCCACUGCCAGCAGGAUGGCUCCUGUUAUCUGCAAGCACGUCAAAGGUGGAGGAGGAGGAGGAUCAAGGUGGAACAAAAAACGAGGAGCAAUUAGAGUGUAAGGAGGAGGAGAGUGAAGAUGGGAGACAAAUUUAUCUGGAGUACAGGAUAGGGAUCACCUGCUUUAUGAAUAUGCCUGCGCUUGCACAAGCACGGGAAGACGAGAGACCAAAAGAAAAAAGGGCAAAUCAAAGGAGCUCUUUGAUCCGAGGCGAGACGCUUCCUCCUGUUGCUCCUCUCUUUGCAUUUCAAAUGAAGGCCGUGGAUAAAAGAGCGUGCUGUACGAGGCAGCUGAAGCAGCGUGGGGCUCAGCUGGGUAUGCUUUACUGGCAUUGGAAAGUGAGGGAGCGGAGAGUGGAGCGGCUGUUGAUGAUCUGACUGUAGCCGAGGCCAAGUCAUCAUCCUAACCUGCUUCGUUCCCUGCUCGACCGCCUUCCUGCUGCCAGGCCUUCUGAACGGAAAGGAGGCAGUCAGCACAAAAUGUAUGUGCACUCCUGCAAAACCUCAAACUGAGAGGAGAGAAGUUUUAGCUCAAAAAUGAGCCACCGGGACGGAAAUACCAGCAGAGUUUCAAGUAGCAAUUAGAGAAAGUGGUGUUGAAAAGGUUACAUCUGCUGUUUCACUUCUCUGACUGUCUACAGCAGCGUUUACAGGUUAAUGAUUGUGUUAACUACAUUUACACUUUGCCCUAUUGGCAGCGUAAUUCCAGCCAGUGAUUAUCAGACAAUACUUUAAUCAGAUCAACAGCCUCCAGGCUCCUCCUCCAGGUUUACUGUACUGUACAGUAGAAUAGAAAGGCCGAUCCAAAGACACACAACUUCCCUUUUGACAAAAUAUAUACUAGUCCCAGUUCAAAAAUUCAAUACUAAACACACAUCAUUCAAUCGUUCAAUAACAAGAGAUCUCAGCCAAUACUAAUAGGCUUCCCUUUAAAAUGUUGAAAUAGUAAAGGGGGGUCCAAUCAUUGAACAGGAUUAAAUGCAGCCCCAAACUUUUUCAGAGCUUUCCCUGUGCUUUAACUUUGGUUCAAAACAUCUUUUCUCUCAAACACUGACAGUGACUGAAUGCAGACGUUUUAUUAGACGUUGAUCUCUGUGAGGCAGAUCUUUGGUCCAGUCCUGAUUUACUUUCUUAUCAGAUUUGAGCAUUUUCUCUGUGAUGCUUCUUGUUAUAAAUGUUUUUCUACGGUUGCAAGUAACUUUACUUAGGUCAUUAUUUAUAAGGCAUUGGUUAGCUGCCUUGGCAAAGUCCUGUUGGACUUUUCCAAGGUUUUGUUUUUGUUCCCAUAGAAAUAACUUUGUGAACCUUCUCAAAAGAUGUAGAUGGUGUGGAUUUGUUCCCUAACCUUUACUUACAACAACGUCAAAUUUCCUUAUGUAAUACAAAUACAUAUAAUGUCAACAUGUGUUUGGCUGAUGUUUAGAUAUUUUUGCUGUUUUUUGCUACAUUUAGAUACUAGGGCUAACAUUUAGGUUUUUCCUUGUGCUAUAUGAUUAAUUAUGCAUGUUAAAGGCUUGAAAAAAAAACCCCGUUUCAAAUCAGGUUUUCCUGCAACCAUUCAAGUUUCCACUGCAGAUCACACGCUCUGUUGACCCCUUUUUUAAACAGCAAAAAAAUACAACCUCCACCAAGUUCUGGACAAAAAGCUUAGGACAACAUUUGUAAAAAUGUUUUGUACUUGUACUGUGCAAUUAACAGAUUAUACAGAGAUAUUUAGAACAUUUAACAGAUACUUGGUUUAAUAUAUAUAUAUAUAUAUAUAUUAUUUGUCCUCACUCCUGCACCUGGCACUAAAAACUUCACCAUUUUCUGUGAAUUGAUUUAGUACUAAUGACGAUUAACUGAUGUGUGUUUCUAAAGUGAAGUACUUUCUCUGCCCAGCUGAACCUAACGACCUGAGGCUGUUGGUUUGACUUCGUCAGCAAUGACAUCUCCUGUUUCUAUUAACAGGAAUACUAACAGCCUGAGCAGACUGUCAUUUUAGACAACGUGCCUCUUGAUGACAAUGCAGUUGCUGUUUAUGGCUCUCGCCACCCGCGACAAAAUGUCCCUUCUCCCUAACAGCUGCGUCCACGUACGGGUAAAAGAUCAACUCAGUCAUUUUCAAUGCUUAAGUGUCCAUUUUACAGACAGCGGGGGAAAUCAGACUUCAGGAAGCAGGGGCAAGGCAUCUCGACUUCAGGCCUGCUGCUGAAUUCCAAACAGGCCCCCUCCUGAUCUUUACGUUUUGUUUGAAAUUCAAAGCCUGGCCCAGCCACCCUGGUUACAGCACUAGGUUUAAAACAGGUCACUCCUCCCGCCUCCUUUUCCUCCUCCCGCUCUGUUCAGCUUAAUAAAGAAACAGGAGGUGUGAAGACAAAAUAUUCUGGCAUGUGCACCGCACUUACUCCACCACCUGCCCUGUAGUUCACUGUCCAGGUUUAUUCACAUCAGAGACUUUAUUUGUCAUGACACGGAGAUGACAGUGACACAGGGAUCUGGCGCUGGUGACACACAGGGAACUCAGUGUCAGUUCAGUCCACAUGCUUCACUCUCAAGGUUGAAGAUAGAGACAGAACCGUGAGACACUUGUGAACUUCAGACUUCUGAAACCUGAUGCAGCAGACGUGAAGGAGGCCCAGACGACCACACGGUCCCAACUAAAUAUAGACGUUUGUAUCUAUGACAUUGGCACAUGACAGAAGGAAACGCAGCACAGUUCUUCUUUUAAACCUCUGUGAGGAUCCCAAACCUUUCAAGGCCUCCAUGACUGCUCCCAAACCUCUCAAACCUUCAAUGAAGCUUCAAAAACAUUUGGAACUUUCAUGCCUGCUGCUAAGCCUUUCAAAUCAGUCAUGUUCAAAACCUGACCAGGCAGCCAAUGAAGUGAGGUUUGAUCUUUUAUGGAACAGUUUUGCUUUGAUUUUAUUUUAAAUACAGUGGGGCCCCGAGAUACGAGUUUAAUCCGUUGCACAACAGCACUCGUGUGUCGAUCCGCUCGUAUCUAGAUUGCAAAGAUCUAGAUUUGUAAAUGUGUAAAAAAAACUGGAGAGAACAGUUUGUACAGUAUUGGACUAUUUCAUAUUUGAGUAUUAGCUGGACAAAAAAAAUGGUGAAUGCAAUGCAUUAGUGUGAGAAUUAAUAAUAGUCUUAAGUAUCAAAGAAGGAACAGUUGGCUCCUGGGUAUUUUUAUAUUAUUGAUUCUGGCUGCUUUGUUUUUGGCUGUUUUUAAUUAAAUGGCUGCUCCUGUUUCUUUACUGAGCAUCAGGAUUAAAGCAAAAAUAAAAAAAGCUUCUCAUGGUUAGAGGUAAAAACAGUAGGAGCAGAGACAGCACUCUUUGGUCCUACAGACAGACAGACAUCUUCCACGUGUUUUUAUUUGAUAAUCCACUACUGGCUAUUAUGGCUGCUAUCAGACACCAACAAUCCUGGACCAUACAAUCCACAACCGUGGACACAAAUGAUGGGAAACAGAACUCACUGAACUCACUCAGCUGGAGGUUUGGUUAUCAGCUCGCCUGCAGACUCAGAAGUUAAAGCAACAGCAAACCACGACAGCCCACAUUUCUGCUCACUCAUUUACUGAAGUAAUUUCAAGUGUAAAUCUCUUGAUUGGACGAUGCUGAUUUGCAAGUGGUGAAAGCAACGUUGAUGUUAAUCAAAAACAUGUAUGGAAGAAGGUGCACAAAGUGCUUCCCUACAGAUAGGUGUUGUAUUGAUUUUAACGCACUGCCAAAAUCCUAAGAAAGUCAAGUAUUACAUCACUGACCUUUAACUGGAGGAUACGUUAUUAUAACACCGCCCACUACUGGUGCCAAUAAAUAAUCAUUUCUCCUCAUUUAUUAAGUUUAAUGGGCCCAAUUAUCUGGACCAUUACCUCCCAUGUGUGAGUAUGAUUUUCCUUUUCCUUAUCAGAAGAGCCUCUUUAAAGAUGUCCAACAAAGAAUUGAAUAUUUUAAUAUUAAAGUCAACAAUGAAACAUGAAAAAACAAAUUAGGAAAAACCUAAAUGCACAUGAAAAGUUUCUAAUUCAAUAUUUUUGCAACAUUCACAAUAUGUGUGCCAAUAUUACCAAAUCCAGCCAUUUACUAGUCAUAUUUUUCCCAUUUUGUGUUCCAGUGUGUAGAAAGGUUACAUAUUUAAAAAAAUAAAAAAAACAACAUUAUCUAUUAGCAAAACUAGAAAUAAUUCUGUAAACCAGUUAAAUUUCUUUUCUUAUAUAAUUUCUUAUAUACUGGUGUUAUAUAAUCCUCAUAUGUGAUUAAAACUUUUAAAAGACCAA